CGUGAGAUGUUGGGUUAAGUCCCGCAACGAGCGCAACCCUUGCCAUUAGUUGCUACGAAAGGGCACUCUAAUGGGACUGCCGGUGACAAACCGGAGGAAGGUGGGGAUGACGUCAGGUCAUCAUGGCCCUUAUGGGUAGGGCUACACACGUCAUACAAUGGCCGGUACAGAGGGCUGCCAACCCGCGAGGGGGAGCCAAUCCCCAGAAAACCGGUCGUAGUCCGGAUCGUAGUCUGCAACUCGACUGCG
RNAcentral lists this ribosomal RNA (249 nucleotides) under uncultured bacterium. RNAcentral describes it as "partial 16S ribosomal RNA". It matches the Rfam family "Bacterial small subunit ribosomal RNA", at positions 1066 to 1320 of the family's 1533-position model. The record is from RNAcentral.